Hemiscyllium ocellatum (epaulette shark) is the source of this 291-nucleotide long non-coding RNA. RefSeq lists it as uncharacterized. Lineage: Eukaryota; Metazoa; Chordata; Chondrichthyes; Orectolobiformes; Hemiscylliidae. The transcript is spliced from 3 exons. The record is from RefSeq and is a predicted model, not a curated record.
UGGCAGAGGUAAUCGACCUUGUGUGUAUGAGUCUAGUGAUUCAGAUGAAGAUUGGACACCUAAAUGUCUUGUGAAAAACCCACUACAGGUGAGAACCUUUAAGCCACCUUUCAAAAAUGAUGGUACCAAGAAGACAAAGAAAGAGAACAGCAAAAAGAACGAGAAAGGACAAUUGGCAAUUGCAUCCCAUUUACAGGAGGACAAAGACGCAGGUUUAAGGAGCUUCAGUGAGGACACUCCCUCAGUCCUGGAAGAGACAGUUUCAGUUAAAAAAAUCAACCGAGAAACUAA